AUACAGAGGGCGCAAGCGUUGUUCGGAAUUACUGGGCGUAAAGGGCAGGUAGGUGGUCUGUUAAGUCUUCUGUGAAAAUCCGGGGCUCAACCCCGUGAAAUGCAGGUGAAACUGGCAGACUUGAGACCGGUAGAGGCUAGCGGAAUUCCUGGUGUAGCGGUGGAAUGCGUAGAUAUCAGGAAGAACACCUGUGGCGAAGGCGGCUAGCUGGGCCGGUUCUGACACUAAACUGCGAAAGCGUGGGGAGCAAACAGAAUUAGAAACCCCAGUAGUCC
This 275-nucleotide ribosomal RNA is filed under the name uncultured bacterium. Its description in RNAcentral is "partial 16S ribosomal RNA". It matches the Rfam family "Bacterial small subunit ribosomal RNA", at positions 523 to 796 of the family's 1533-position model. The record is from RNAcentral.